MicroRNA precursor from Astyanax mexicanus (Mexican tetra), 87 nucleotides. It matches the Rfam family "mir-15 microRNA precursor family". Rfam says of the family: This family represents the related mir-15a and mir-15b sequences. In humans miR-15a and miR-16 are clustered within 0.5 kb at 13q14. The record is from Rfam. NCBI's taxonomy places the organism in Eukaryota, Metazoa, Chordata, Actinopteri, Characiformes, Acestrorhamphidae.
CCUGGCGGUGCCGUAGCAGCACAGAAUGGUUUGUGAGUUUUCAACAGGGGGGUGCAGGCCGUGCUGUGCUGCGGCAGCAACGCCAGG